GCACUGCUUAGGUGUGCCACAAUAGGACGAAACGGCCGUCCAGUGC
Schistosoma margrebowiei is the source of this 46-nucleotide non-coding RNA. The record is from Rfam. Lineage: Eukaryota; Metazoa; Platyhelminthes; Trematoda; Strigeidida; Schistosomatidae.